UGGAUUAGUGGCGAACGGGUGAGUAACACGUGAGCAACCUGCCCCUGACUCUGGGAUAAGCGCUGGAAACGGCGUCUAAUACUGGAUAUGUCCCGUCACCGCAUGGUGUGCGGGUGGAAAGAUUUUUCGGUUGGGGAUGGGCUCGCGGCCUAUCAGCUUGUUGGUGAGGUAAUGGCUCACCAAGGCGUCGACGGGUAGCCGGCCUGAGAGGGUGACCGGCCACACUGGGACUGAGACACGGCCCAGACUCCUACGGGAGGCAGCAGUGGGGAAUAUUGCACAAUGGGCGGAAGCCUGAUGCAGCAACGCCGCGUGAGGGAUGACGGCCUUCGGGUUGUAAACCUCUUUUAGCAGGGAAGAAGCGAGAGUGACGGUACCUGCAGAAAAAGCACCGGCUAACUACGUGCCAGCAGCCGCGGUAAUACGUAGGGUGCAAGCGUUAUCCGGAAUUAUUGGGCGUAAAGAGCUCGUAGGCGGUCUGUCGCGUCUGCUGUGAAAUCCCGAGGCUCAACCUCGGGCUUGCAGUGGGUACGGGCAGACUAGAGUGCGGUAGGGGAGAUUGGAAUUCCUGGUGUAGCGGUGGAAUGCGCAGAUAUCAGGAGGAACACCGAUGGCGAAGGCAGAUCUCUGGGCCGUAACUGACGCUGAGGAGCGAAAGGGUGGGGAGCAAACAGGCUUAGAUACCCUGGUAGUCCACCCCGUAAACGUUGGGAACUAGUUGUGGGGUCCUUUCCACGGAUUCCGUGACGCAGCUAACGCAUUAAGUUCCCCGCCUGGGGAGUACGGCCGCAAGGCUAAAACUCAAAGGAAUUGACGGGGACCCGCACAAGCGGCGGAGCAUGCGGGAUUAAUUCGAUGCAACGCGAAGAACCUUACCAAGGCUUGACAUACACGAGAACGGGCCAGAAAUGGUCAACUCUUUGGACACUCGUGAACAGGUGGGUGCAUGGUUGUCGUCAGCUCGUGUCGUGAGAUGUUGGGUUAAGUCCCGCAACGAGCGCAACCCUCGUUCUAUGUUGCCAGCACGUUAUGUGGGAACUCAUGGGAAACUGCCGGGGUCAACUCGGGAGGAAGGUGGGGGAUGACGUCAAAUCAUCAUGCCCCUUAAUGUCUUUGGGGCCUUCAAGCGCAUGC
This 1134-nucleotide ribosomal RNA is filed under the name Microbacterium esteraromaticum. Its description in RNAcentral is "bacterial SSU rRNA". It matches the Rfam family "Bacterial small subunit ribosomal RNA", at positions 88 to 1225 of the family's 1533-position model. Lineage: Bacteria; Bacillati; Actinomycetota; Actinomycetes; Micrococcales; Microbacteriaceae. The record is from RNAcentral.